GACGAACGCUGGCGGCGUGCUUAACACAUGCAAGUCGAACGGAAAGGCCCUGCUUUUGUGGGGUGCUCGAGUGGCGAACGGGUGAGUAACACGUGAGUAACCUGCCCUUGACUUUGGGAUAACUUCAGGAAACUGGGGCUAAUACCGGAUAGGAGCUCCUGCUGCAUGGUGGGGGUUGGAAAGUUUCGGCGGUUGGGGAUGGACUCGCGGCUUAUCAGCUUGUUGGUGGGGUAGUGGCUUACCAAGGCUUCGACGGGUAGCCGGCCUGAGAGGGUGACCGGCGACAUUGGGCCUGAGAGACGGCGCAGAAUCGUAUGGGAGGCAGCAGUGGGGAAUAUUGCACAGUGGGCGGAAGCCUGAUGCAGCAACGCCGCGUGCGGGAUGACGGCCUUCGGGUUGUAAACCGCUGUGGCCUGUGACGAAGCGUGAGUGACGGUAAUGGGUAAAGAAGCACCGGCUAACUACGUG
This 468-nucleotide ribosomal RNA is filed under the name uncultured bacterium. RNAcentral's name for it is "partial 16S ribosomal RNA". It matches the Rfam family "Bacterial small subunit ribosomal RNA", at positions 28 to 507 of the family's 1533-position model. The record is from RNAcentral.